GAUGGGGUUAAGGGCAUUCUGUUAGCAGAGAAGUAUGCUUGAAGUACGGCAGCAUAAUAGGGGUGAACAUAGUGAGCUUACUGUUAUAUAUGGUGAGAAGGCUGAAGAGAAGGGGUUUGGUUUGAGAUUGGAUUCAGAUUGGGCAAAUUCUUAAAUGCUAUACUAGGGCAUUAGCAAUUCUGUAAGCCAAGAAAACAUCAAAGGUUUUUUUGUUUCUGGUUUUGAUUUUUGCUCUCGCGUUGUACUGACAUGCUUGGAUCUGCCUUUUAGAGAAUGAAGUGCUGGCAGUGUGGAGGAGAAGACUGGAGGUGAGAGAGCCUGGGAGCAGAGAGGUCAGACACAACAAGAUGACCAACUACAAAGCAGGAAGUGCCCUCACCAUACACCAGAUCUGCGAGGAUCUUGAUCUUACACUUCCUAGCCUCCAGAGCCAUGAGAAAUAAAUGUCUGUUGUUUAAGCCA
Aethalodelphis obliquidens (Pacific white-sided dolphin) is the source of this 462-nucleotide long non-coding RNA. RefSeq lists it as uncharacterized. NCBI's taxonomy places the organism in Eukaryota, Metazoa, Chordata, Mammalia, Artiodactyla, Delphinidae. The transcript is spliced from 2 exons. The record is from RefSeq and is a predicted model, not a curated record.